Molecule: ribosomal RNA, 678 nt
Filed under: Cryptosporidium ryanae
Lineage: Eukaryota; Apicomplexa; Conoidasida; Eucoccidiorida; Cryptosporidiidae
Description: SSU rRNA
Rfam family: Eukaryotic small subunit ribosomal RNA
Source: RNAcentral
UAUACUUUACGGAUCACAUUAUGUGACAUAUCAUUCAAGUUUCUGACCUAUCAGCUUUAGACGGUAGGGUAUUGGCCUACCGUGGCUAUGACGGGUAACGGGGAAUUAGGGUUCGAUUCCGGAGAGGGAGCCUGAGAAACGGCUACCACAUCUAAGGAAGGCAGCAGGCGCGCAAAUUACCCAAUCCUAAUACAGGGAGGUAGUGACAAGAAAUAACAAUACAGAGCCUUACGGUUUUGUAAUUGGAAUGAGUUAAGUAUAAACCCCUUAACAAGUAUCAAUUGGAGGGCAAGUCUGGUGCCAGCAGCCGCGGUAAUUCCAGCUCCAAUAGCGUAUAUUAAAGUUGUUGCAGUUAAAAAGCUCGUAGUUAAUUUUCUGUUAAUUUUUAUAUACAAUACUACGGUAUUUAUAUAAUAUUAACAUAAUUCAUAUUACUUUUUAUAUAUGAAACUUUACUUUGAGAAAAUUAGAGUGCUUAAAGCAGGCUAUUGCCUUGAAUACUCCAGCAUCGAAUAAUAUUAAGGAUUUUUAUUCUUCUUAUUGGUUCUAGAAUAAAAAUAAUGAUUAAUAGGGACAGUUGGGGGCAUUUGUAUUUAACAGUCAGAGGUGAAAUUCUUAGAUUUGUUAAAGACAAACUACUGCGAAAGCAUUUGCCAAGGAUGUUUUCAUUAAUCAAGA